Molecule: long non-coding RNA, 1743 nt
Organism: Dama dama (fallow deer)
Lineage: Eukaryota; Metazoa; Chordata; Mammalia; Artiodactyla; Cervidae
Exons: 3
Source: RefSeq, a predicted model, not a curated record
CAGCAGCAGCAGUGGCAGCACCAGCGCCCACAUCGUGGCCAGGAUGUUGUAGCACUUGGCUUUGGAGCCGAGACGCCGGGCUGCCUCCAGAUCUCCAGCCACCUUCUGGUCUCGGGCCUGUGGACCAGCAGCAGGGCCAGUUAAUGGACCCAGUGGCCAUCCCAAGCCAGCAUCUACCUUCCAGGACCCCCGAGGGUAGGGAGUCCUCAUUGGUGCUGGGAGGCUGUCACCACAGGAGCUGAAGCUAGGGAGCUGUGCUAACAGGAGCCCCCGCGUGUGAAAAGCCCCAUUUGAAAGAAGAGACCUUCUUGGAGGGCCCAGCAGCAUCUGUGUGCCGGCGAAGCACAUGUAUGUCAAGAGCCAGAUUGGAUGUGAAAGUUGGACUAUAAAGAAAGCUGAGUACCAGCGAAUUGAUACUUUUGAACUGUGAUGUUGGAGAAGACUCUUGAGAGUCCCUUGCACUGCAAGGAGAUCCAGCCAGUCCAUCCUAAAGGAAAUCAUCCCUGAAUAUUCAUUGGAAGGACUGAUGCUGAAGCUGAAACUCCAAUACUUUGGCCACCUGAUGCGAGGAACUGACUCAUUGGAAAAGACCCCGAUGCUGGGAAAGAUUGAAGGCAGGAGGAGAAGGGGGCGACAGAGGAUGAGAUGGUGGAUGGCAUCACCAACUCGAUGGACGUGAGUUUGAGCAAGCUCCAGGAGUUGAUGAUGGACAGGAAAGCCUGGCGUGAUGCAGUCCAUGGGGUCACAGAGUCGGACACGGCUGAGCGACUAAACUGACUGACUGAGAUUCGAAUAACCGAGUGCCCGCUCCGUGGAAGAGGGCUCCUGGGCUCUCCAGCCUGCUCCUCUAAGGGAGACCUCAGGCUCCCAAACCUCCUGUCUGAGUUAGGACUGCUAUAGCUAGUGCUCAGACCAGUGACUCAUAAAUAAUAGAAAUGUAUCUCUCACUUCUCUAAAGGCUUGAAGGUCCGAGAUGAGGGUGCCAGAAUGGAUGGGCCCUCGUUGAAGACAGCCUAUUUCUCCCUGCUCCUCACUGGUGGAAGGAGCUGGGGUAGGGAUCCACCCUCAUGACCUACUAACCUCCUAAUACCAUCACUUUAGGAUUUCAGUAGGAAUUUGGGGGAACACAAGCAUUCAGUCCACUGUACCCUCUGCUCAGUCCCCGCCCCCGGCACAGGAGGUGGCCACUGGCCACUCCAUCCAUCCAGCUCCACCCAUUCCCGUGCCCCUUCUGCCCCUCACACCGAAUCCACUUGGUCCCAAUUCCAGAAUGGGCAGACUCUCAGCACCACUGAGACCAAGUCAAACUUCCUUCUCCUGGAUUAGUGCAGCCCCUCUGCAUUCUCUCUACAGCAGCCAGAGUGGUCCUGUUACAGCAGAAAGCACAUGUUCCAUUCAACUUCUUUGAUUCAGGAAAUUUUGCUUUCAGGUCCACCUCUUGUGUGAUCUUAUCUAUUUGGAAUAUCCCUCAUAAAUGGCCAUUCUAUUCUAGAUUGUUUUAGUAAGACUUUGCCAUUUUUGUGAUAUAUACAGCUUCUGGGACAGCGGUUCUUAGAUAUAAAAUGAACAGUUGUGCCAGCAGGUGGCGAGCUCCUUUCUUAUAUCUAACCCUUGGGUUCUCUCUGAGACAAACUAAUACCUCAAAGGGACUUGCCUCUGCGAUGCAGAUUGUGCGUGAUUCGUGGUGUACCUUGCUGCUCAAUUUUCUUGGGUUUGAUGAGCAAUCUGGAGUCAAUACAACCA